This 253-nucleotide ribosomal RNA is filed under the name uncultured bacterium. Its description in RNAcentral is "partial 16S ribosomal RNA". It matches the Rfam family "Bacterial small subunit ribosomal RNA", at positions 524 to 776 of the family's 1533-position model. The record is from RNAcentral.
UACGGGGGGGGCAAGCGUUGUUCGGAAUUACUGGGCGUAAAGGGCUCGUAGGCGGACUCUUAAGUCGGGGGUGAAAUCCUGGAGCUCAACUCCAGAACUGCCUUUGAUACUGAAGAUCUUGAGUUCGGGAGAGGUGAGUGGAACUGCGAGUGUAGAGGUGAAAUUCGUAGAUAUUCGCAAGAACACCAGUGGCGAAGGCGGCUCACUGGCCCGAUACUGACGCUGAGGCACGAAAGCGUGGGGAGCAAACAGG